AACGAACGCUGGCGGCAUGCCUAACACAUGCAAGUCGAACGAAACCUUCGGGUCUAGUGGCGCACGGGUGCGUCACGCGUGGGAACCUUCCCUUAUAUGCGGCAUAACUCCCCGAAAGGGGUGCCAAUACCGGAUAGUGUCUUCGGCCCAAAGAUUUAUCGCCCUUGGAUGUUCCGUCGUUGAAUUAGCUAGUUGUUAGGGUAAAAGCCUACCAUGGCGAGGAUCCAUAGAUGGGAUGAGAGGAUGAUCAGCCACACUGGGAGUGGGACACGGCCCAGACUCUUACGGGAGGCAGCAGUGGGUAAUAGUGGACAAUGGGCGAAAGCAUGAUCCAGCAAUGACGCGUGAGUGAUGAAGUCCUUAGGGUUGUAAAGCUCUUUUACCCGGGAUGAUAAUGACAGUACCGGGAGAAUAAGCUCCGGCUAACUCCGUG
Molecule: ribosomal RNA, 433 nt
Filed under: uncultured bacterium
Lineage: Bacteria
Description: partial 16S ribosomal RNA
Rfam family: Bacterial small subunit ribosomal RNA
Source: RNAcentral